RNAcentral lists this transfer RNA (55 nucleotides) under Sceloporus horridus. RNAcentral describes it as "tRNA-Ser". The record is from RNAcentral. Lineage: Eukaryota; Metazoa; Chordata; Lepidosauria; Squamata; Phrynosomatidae.
GGUGUUCUGAACACCAAGAACUGCUAAUUCUUCCUACUGAAGUUAAAAUCCUCAG